GAUGAACGCUGGCGGUAUGCUUAACACAUGCAAGUCGAACGGACUCUUCGGAGUUAGUGGCGGACGGGUGAGUAACGCGUGAGAAUCUGGCUUUGGGUUCGGGACAACCACUGGAAACGGUGGCUAAUACCGGAUGUGCCGAGAGGUAAAAGAGAAAUUGCCUGAAGAUGAGCUCGCGUCUGAUUAGCUAGUUGGUGAGGUAAAGGCUAACCAAGGCAGCGAUCAGUAGCUGGUCUGAGAGGAUGACCAGCCACACUGGGACUGAGACACGGCCCAGACUCCUACGGGAGGCAGCAGUGGGGAAUUUUCCGCAAUGGGCGAAAGCCUGACGGAGCAGUACCGCGUGAGGGAAGAAGGCUCUUGGGUUGUAAACCUCUUUUCUUAGGGAAGAACAAAAUGACGGUACCUAAGGAAUCAGCAUCGGCUAACUCCGUG
Molecule: ribosomal RNA, 435 nt
Filed under: uncultured bacterium
Lineage: Bacteria
Description: partial 16S ribosomal RNA
Rfam family: Bacterial small subunit ribosomal RNA
Source: RNAcentral